UACGGGGGGGGCAAGCGUUGUUCGGAAUUAUUGGGCGUAAAGAGCUCGUAGGCGGUCUGUCGCGUCGGAUGUGAAAAUCCAGGGCUCAACCCUGGACCUGCAUUCGAUACGGGCAGACUAGAGUUCGGUAGGGGAGACUGGAAUUCCUGGUGUAGCGGUGAAAUGCGCAGAUAUCAGGAGGAACACCGGUGGCGAAGGCGGGUCUCUGGGCAGUAACUGACGCUGAGGAGCGAAAGCGUGGGGAGCGAACAGG
RNAcentral lists this ribosomal RNA (253 nucleotides) under uncultured bacterium. Its description in RNAcentral is "partial 16S ribosomal RNA". It matches the Rfam family "Bacterial small subunit ribosomal RNA", at positions 524 to 776 of the family's 1533-position model. The record is from RNAcentral.